This 414-nucleotide small RNA is filed under the name Caulobacter vibrioides NA1000. Its description in RNAcentral is "small non-coding RNA". Lineage: Bacteria; Pseudomonadati; Pseudomonadota; Alphaproteobacteria; Caulobacterales; Caulobacteraceae. The record is from RNAcentral.
GGUGCGGCUGAUUCCUAGAUCAGUCGAGGGGUGCAUACCCAUAUUGACCACAACGAGCAAUACGGACCUCCUGAAGAGAUCAUUUAUAAUACUCAAAUGUUCGAGAAGGCUCUCGGUUACUGGAAAUGGCUAGAAAUGCGCGCUUGAUAUCCUGAGUAUCGAUAUGGGCCGCGAUCUGAUACCGCCGAUAUCCAGACAUUAACGUCCAAAGUCGCGCGAGAGCGCCAGCAUGGCGGCGCGCUGCGGGGCCGAGUAUUCGUCAACGGCGGCCUCGUCGCCGUCGCGGAUCGCCUUCAGGAGCGCCGGCGUCAGAGCAGAGGUCAGCGACCAGUUCCAAUAGCGCAGCACCGUCUGGGCGCGGUCGACGGCGAUGGCGUCAUAGACCGUCAGCACACGCUCGAGGUUCGGGUCGGU